RNAcentral lists this ribosomal RNA (270 nucleotides) under Shigella flexneri. Its description in RNAcentral is "partial 23S ribosomal RNA". It matches the Rfam family "Bacterial large subunit ribosomal RNA", at positions 888 to 1155 of the family's 2925-position model. The record is from RNAcentral. Lineage: Bacteria; Pseudomonadati; Pseudomonadota; Gammaproteobacteria; Enterobacterales; Enterobacteriaceae.
AUUCAUCUCCGGGGGUAGAGCACUGUUUCGGCAAGGGGGUCAUCCCGACUUACCAACCCGAUGCAAACUGCGAAUACCGGAGAAUGUUAUCACGGGAGACACACGGCGGGGGCUAACGUCCGUCGUGAAGAGGGAAACAACCCAGACCGCCAGCUAAGGGCCCAAAGUCAUGGUUAAGUGGGAAACGAUGUGGGAAGGCCCAGACAGCCAGGAUGUUGGCUUAGAAGCAGCCAUCAUUUAAAGAAAGCGUAAUAGCUCACUGGUCGAGUC